Molecule: transfer RNA, 28 nt
Filed under: Priapichthys panamensis
Lineage: Eukaryota; Metazoa; Chordata; Actinopteri; Cyprinodontiformes; Poeciliidae
Also listed under: 1 other name
Description: partial tRNA-Gln
Source: RNAcentral
AGGAAGUGGUGUAGUGGAGGCACUAAGA